Triticum urartu is the source of this 72-nucleotide non-coding RNA. The record is from Rfam. Lineage: Eukaryota; Viridiplantae; Streptophyta; Magnoliopsida; Poales; Poaceae.
GCGCAUCUGGUGUAGUGGUAUCGUAGUACCCUCCCACUGUACUGGCCAGGGUUCGAUUCCCUGGAUGUUGCA